Molecule: ribosomal RNA, 470 nt
Filed under: Yarrowia lipolytica
Lineage: Eukaryota; Fungi; Ascomycota; Dipodascomycetes; Dipodascales
Description: partial large subunit ribosomal RNA
Rfam family: Eukaryotic large subunit ribosomal RNA
Source: RNAcentral
AAAGCUCAAAUUUGAAACCCUCGGGAUUGUAAUUUGAAGAUUUGGCAUUGGAGAAAGCUAACCCAAGUUGCUUGGAAUAGUACGUCAUAGAGGGUGACAACCCCGUCUGGCUAACCGUUCUCCAUGUAUUGCCUUAUCAAAGAGUCGAGUUGUUUGGGAAUGCAGCUCAAAGUGGGUGGUAAACUCCAUCUAAAGCUAAAUACUGGUGAGAGACCGAUAGCGAACAAGUACUGUGAAGGAAAGGUGAAAAGAACUUUGAAAAGAGAGUGAAAUAGUAUGUGAAAUUGUUGAUAGGGAAGGAAAUGAGUGGAGAGUGGCCGAGGUUUCAGCCGCCCCUCGUGGGCGGUGUACUGCCGACGCCGAGUCAUCGAUAGCGAGACGAGGGUUACAAAUGGGAGCGCCUUCGGGCGUUCUCCCCUAACCCUCCACACUGCCACCGACGACAUAAUCCACCCAUUUCACCCGUCUUG